This is an RNA transcript of Colias croceus (clouded yellow), 4994 nucleotides long. It is a transcript of the gene named cullin-3-A, with no coding region annotated. NCBI's taxonomy places the organism in Eukaryota, Metazoa, Arthropoda, Insecta, Lepidoptera, Pieridae. The transcript is spliced from 16 exons. The record is from RefSeq and is a predicted model, not a curated record.
CUAUUCUCUAUAUUCACAAGUCAAAGUUUAUUUAGCUAUGUGAAAUCGAAUUUGCAAUAAUUAUAAUUUAUAACUGAAAUAUUUCUGAUCGUUGUCAGGUGUAUCAGCAAAUAUAAAUGUUAAAUGGGAGAGUAACAAUGAAGUGUAUUUGGGAAUUUAAAUGAAUUAAAAAGGUUAUAAGUUUCAGUGUUUGUUAGUAAUAAAAAAUCAGUCGCAAUGAUGAAAAGUACGUUGCCUAAAGAUAAACCUGGCAAGAUGAGGAUCAGGGCCUUUCCCAUGACUAUGGAUGAAAAGUAUGUGGAGAGUAUAUGGAGUUUAUUAAAAAAUGCAAUACAGGAAAUUCAAAAGAAAAACAAUUCAGGCCUUUCAUUUGAAGAGUUGUACCGAAAUGCAUAUACAAUGGUACUUCAUAAGCAUGGUGAAAGAUUGUACACUGGUCUGAAGGAAGUGGUCACUCAUCACCUUGAAACCAAGGUCCGAGAAGAUGUUCUACACUCAUUACAUAAUGGAUUCCUACAAACUCUCAAUAAUGCUUGGACAGAUCAUCAAACAAGCAUGGUCAUGAUUAGAGAUAUACUGAUGUACAUGGACAGAGUAUAUGUACAGCAGAACGAUGUUGAUAAUGUUUAUAAUCUAGGGCUCAUUAUAUUUAGAGAUCAGGUGGUGCGAUACGGUUGCAUUAGAGACCACUUGCGGCAAACAUUGCUAGAACUGGUGGCGCGUGAGCGACGAGGGGAGGUAGUGGAUCGUCUCGCUAUCAGGAACGCCUGCCAAAUGCUCAUGGUACUAGGCAUCAACUCUCGAGCUGUCUACGAGGAGGACUUUGAAAAACCUUUUCUACAUCAGUCUGCCGAGUUUUAUCGGAUGGAAUCUCAGAAGUUCUUGGCGGAGAACAGCGCGGCGGUGUACAUAGCGCGCGUGGAGGCGCGCAUCAGCGAGGAGGCGGAGCGCGCGCGGCACUACCUCGACGAGAGCACGGAGCCGCGCGUCGUGGCCGUGCUCGAGCACGAGCUCAUCGAGCGACACAUGAAGACCAUUGUCGAGAUGGAGAACUCGGGCGUAGUGCACAUGUUACUCCACACGCGUACAGUGGAGCUGGCGUGCGUGUACAAGCUGCUGUCGCGCGUGGCGGAGGGGCUGCGCACGGUCGCGGACGCGGUGUCGGCGCACCUGCGGGAGCAGGGACGUGCGCUUGUUACAGAUACGCACCACAAUACCAACGCUAUUGCGUAUGUGCAGAACCUUCUGGAUCUGAAAGAUAGAUUUGAUCAUUUCCUUCACAACUCAUUCAACAAUGAUAAAAUAUUCAAACAUAUGAUCGCAUCAGACUUCGAAUAUUUCCUUAAUCUAAACAACAAGUCACCUGAAUUCCUUUCACUGUUUAUUGACGGAAAAUUAAAGAAAGGCGAAAAAGGCAUGAGUGAGCAAGAAAUCGAAGCAGUCUUAGAUAAAACAAUGGUGCUCUUCCGUUUCCUGCAAGAAAAAGAUGUGUUUGAGCGUUACUAUAAACAGCAUCUUGCCAAACGUCUUCUCUUAAAUAAAUCUGUAUCUGAUGACAGCGAGAAAAAUAUGAUCUCUAAAUUAAAGACUGAAUGCGGUUGUCAGUUUACGUCAAAGCUGGAGGGUAUGUUCAAGGACAUGACAGUGUCCAACACCAUCAUGGAGGAGUUCAAGGAGCAUGUGAUAUCAUCCGGGAGCAACUUGCACGGCGUGGACCUAUCGGUGCGUGUGCUAACGACGGGCUUCUGGCCCACACAGAGCGCCACGCCCAAGUGCAACAUUCCCGCUGCACCUAGAAUGGCCUUCGAAGUGUUCCGCAGCUUCUACCUCGCGAAGCACUCUGGCCGGCAGCUGUCGCUGCAGCCGCAGCUGGGCAGCGCGGACCUGCACGCCACGUUCCGCGGCGCGAGCGGCUCCCCGCCCCGCUCCCCGCCGCACGCCGCGCCCGCGCCCGCGCCCGCCCCCCGCCGCCACAUCAUACAAGUGUCCACCUUCCAGAUGUGCGUGCUGCUGCUGUUCAACAAGCGCGACCGGCUCACGUACGAGGAAAUACUCAACGAGACUGACAUACCGGAGAAGGAUUUAGUGCGCGCAUUACAGUCGCUAGCCAUGGGCAAGCCCACGCAGCGAGUGCUGAUCAAACAUCCCAAAACUAAGGAGAUUGAGCCCCCUCACCAGUUCUACGUAAAUGAUGCAUUCACGUCCAAAUUACACAGGGUAAAGAUCCAAACGGUGGCAGCGAAGGGCGAGUCGGAGCCGGAGCGACGCGAGACCCGCAACAAGGUGGACGAGGACCGCAAGCACGAGAUCGAGGCGGCCAUCGUGCGCAUCAUGAAGGCCAGGAAAAAGAUGGCGCACACUCUGCUAGUGGCGGAAGUGACAGAACAGCUGCGCGCGCGUUUCCUCCCCUCGCCCGUAGUGAUCAAGAAGCGCAUCGAGGGGCUCAUCGAGCGCGAGUACCUGGCGCGCACGCCCGACGACCGCAAGGUGUACACCUACGUCGCAUAGGUGCGUAACCGUAACCGUACCCGCACCUGUAACCGUAACCAUAACCUUGCCCGUGACCGUGGUCAACUCGCGCUUGUAAUUUUAACGGCAAACAUGACGGAAAUUUUACAUUACGUGAAAAAUACAAUUAUUAUUUUAAAUUGAAUGUGUUUAUAAGCUGCAUCGUGAAAGAAUAUCAGUGUAAAACAUUAAUAAUAAUUAUUCGUCGACUUGUUGCUCUUAGUAUUAAUGAUAUGAAAAACCUUUUACAUACAAUGGCAUUAAAAUUAUUAUUUUAUGUUAAAUUAUAAUUAUGCUUAAUCAUUCAUCAAGUCAUCGUGAGGACCUAUGCCUUCUCCUGCUCUAUAAAUUACUAAACGUAAUUUAUGUUUCUUUUUCCAUGAUAAAUAAGGUUUUUAAUAUCAAAAACUUAAGACUUUGUACUUUCCAUUUAAUAUUUACGCGGAACUACAAUAUUAUCCAUGAAUGUAAAAAAAAAACAAUUGUAUAUACAAGUAAUAAUGUGGUUUAAUUUGAUCGUUUCGGUACUGUACUAUAAGUGUUCCUCGUGAUUCCCUAGAUUAGUUAUGUUAAAUUAAACUUCUUUUUAUAAAACCAUGUUUCAUUGACUGGUCCCAUUACUAAAAAUUCCUCAGUAAAAUCCACAAUUGGCUUUCAUUUUUCAGGCCAACAGUUUCGAGACCAUAAAGCUCUCGAUGAGUGGACGCCAAGUUAAAGUGAUAGAAGUAACGAGAGUAUUUAAAUUAUUGCUAAAUAAAAAUUAUUAGUUAAUAUGAAAUGUUUAUUUUAUUGCCUUUAAAUAAGUCGAAUGAUACAUGGAAAUAAUACAAAUAGUAUUAGUGUAAGAUAUCUCAUUUUGUCUUGCAUGUUUCCUGAAUUGGAAGGGAGAAAGAAACUUUUGGGCAAGUAAAUUUUCAAAUGCGGUGCGCCCGCAUACUCAAACACAUCAGGCUUACUUACGUCUAUGAAAUUGGUAUCGACGGUGAGAACUGUCGAUAUAUCGUCAUUAUUGAAUGUUACGUUUUGUGCAGUGCCUUCGACCUUCACAUAUACUAUUUUGUUUUGCUCUUUAGAUACAUCGCUGUUUGUAUCGGCGUAAGCAAUUAUAUAGCUAUUCUGGUAACUACAUUCUUACAAUGUAAUGCAGAAUUCUUUCUAUCAAGUAUUCCAUAUAUAUAUUCUUUAUCAAACAUCUGAAUUUGAAUCCAAUUUUCAUCUGGAAUACUCUGAGGAUUGCCAUAUGGAGCCACAUAAGUUACAGAAUCCAACUUAAGGUAAUGUAGUAUAUUAUUCUGUAUAUUUUGGCAAGCAGUUGUUGCAUUGUAUGCAUUGAGAAUAUCUUCUUUAAUAGUAAAUCGACAUUUGCUUCUCUUGUUUUGCCCAAACUGCACAAUUUUAUAUGACACAUUCGUCAAUAUACAAUGACCAUUUAUAUUGUCCGGAUGUAUUAAAAUAUUUUUGAUUCCAAAUGAAUUAUUGAACAAAUGCAUUGUGUGAUUAUUCUCAGCAGUUGAGAUAAGAAUCGGUAAAUUAGGAAUGUAACCAGGAUUUCCACUUAAUUUUAAAAUGUCCUCUUCUGGUUUGUUGCUCAGAUAAAAUGUAACCUUCACAUUCUGAUUAAUAAAUUGAAGAUUCAUAGUUAUUUUUUGAAUGUAAAGUUUUAUUUCUGCUUUAAUUAUUUUAGAAUCGAAGUAGUAAAAUGUAUAAUGAACUUUUGUUGCAAUAUUAUUGCAAUAACUUUCUGUACAAUAUGGUUCAUGACUACUUUUAUUGUAAGCAAUGCAUUCUAACUGGUCGCAAAUGUAUAAAGUCCAGUUAGUAUGAUGAACAGUCAUAUUCUGAAAAAAAUAAUGUUUAUUAAAUGUAUUGUGUUAAGAUAUCAAACAGUUGAUUGUUUUAUUAUAAUGUAGUGUUUGAAAUGGGCUUCUAUAGCUAAGAAAACUUACCUUAUCACUAGAAUUAGUUAAAUUUGUCAUUGGACUUAAUAUACUUCCUCCUUCCACAUUUUUCAACACUUGAAACAUAUGAAGAUCUUGCAAUUUUACAACACAUUUAACAUUUUCAUUUACAAGGAAUUUAAUUGUCUUCUUUCCAGAACAGUAAUGGUUUGUUACUAUAACUGGAAUAUCUAAAAAUGUUGAAGGUUGAGAUUAAAUAAUAUUUUAUAGAUAUUAUAUUCUGACGUUAAUGUUAAGCCUCACCUGCAUGGAAUAUGGAUCCAUUUCUAGAUAACCAUACAGGCUCAUUGUAUCUAUACAUAUUCCUCUUAAAUUCAUACAAAACCUCUUGCCUGUUGUGCUUAUGCCAUUUAGGAGACCUAUUAAUUGCUGCCUCAUCAAACUGUAAUAGAUUAUAAAUGAACCAUAUUAUUAUAUCUUUUAAAAAUAAAUAUAUGUAUUUGUUUUUACUAUAUUUACCUGUAUGUCUGUUAAGCGUUUAUCGGGUAAGUUAGUUUUAGAAAUACAAAAUAAAUUUUCUAAGAAAUU